GGCCUGUAAAUGGCGUCUAGGGGACGAGGAGCGUUGGGGAGAGAGAGAGAGAAAGCAGGCACCGGUCACUCCGGAACCGGUCUAGGCACCCCGGAAGCGGCACCCAAAGAACGCCGGCCCGAAAGAGGAAGAGGAGAAGAUGCAGAAAAUAGCAGUCUGAAAGAGAAUGUCCUUACUGAAGUCCCCUAGCCAGGAAGCAGCAGGGCCUGGAUUGAAACGCAAGCCUGUCUCACCCUAGAGCAAGCCCACAUUUUUUUCCCCUGGCGGCGGGCAGCCUGCCUGGUGGUGAGUCAGUGGUGCAGACAAGCACCCAGAAACCUGCCUUUUCUCCUUAGUGGCACGAUUGUGUGGAUGUGCCAUGCCCUAACCAUUUCCGUAUUGAUAAACAUUUAGGCUGUUACUGAACUUUGGCUCUUACAAGCAUUUGCUGUGGUUACUAACCUUGUACAUCUGAUUGCAUGUGUGUGAUAGGAUUAUCAGUAAUAUCUUGUUUGAAGUGGAAUUGCAGGGUCAAAGGGUCCACGCUUGGGAAUGUUGAGAGCCAUGGCCACUUGAUGCAUUUUAUUCAUUUCUCCGUUGACUUCGGUGUUCAUUUUAUUCAUUUAUAUGUUGACCGAAUUCUGGAACUCUAGUCAGCUGCCAGGCAUGGCUGUAGGCUGGAGAUCCUACAGGGAAAUAGGCCAGAGCACCUGCCCUCUAGGAGCAGAUAUUCCAGUGAAGCAGAUGAUGUCAGGUAAAAGAUGAGUGGAAGGAUAAGUCAGGAUAAGGAAGUUUCGAGUGACGGAGGUCAGAGGUGGUCAGGGAAGGCUCUCUGAGGAGAUGACAUUUGAGCAGAGUCCUGAACAAAGUUAAGGAACUGAACCGUAUGAAGAUGCUGAAAAGCCGUGGAAAGACCUGAGGAAGAAGCGGAGUGGAGCGGGUGUUCGAAGAUUGUCAAGGUGACCAGAGUGGCUGGAGCAGAGCGAGGGGAAGAGAGAAAGCAUUCUUUAGGGAUGAAGCUAUCGAGAGGGGCCAGGUUACAUAGGGUCUUGUAGGCCACGGGAAGUUACUUGCCGGGCGUAACAGGAAGCCGUUGGAGGGCUGUGAGCAAGGCCCGGCAUGUUGAGAUGUGUGUUUUAUAAACAUCUCUAUAGUGAACACCCUGAAUUAAUGACUGUGGUUGCUUGUGGGGAUGAAGGUUCUAGACAGAUACGGAACAGAGCUGUGAGGACGAGUGUUGAAGACUUCUGCUUUUUUGAGCAAUGUGACUGUUGUCCGUGCACAGAAAAGUUAAAGUAUUAAAGCAGCGCCAGUUGCUGUGAGGAGAAUGGCCUGCAGCUGGGCAGGCAUGGACACAGGUGAUGAGGAAGCCCAUGUCCCUGCCUGGAUGGGAGAUGAUGGUGACUCAGAAAGAGGGUUGUGUGAGAGGAACCAUGAAUCAGGGAUGACUUAAAAGUUAUCCUAAAGGUUUUGGGCUUGACCAACUGGAUGAAGGGUGAUGCUUUUUCACGAAGAUGUGGAGGAGUCCUCUUGGUGGGAAAUCGACAGGCUUUGAACCUGCUGACCCUGAGAUGCUCGCUGGACAUCGAGUAAGGGGCGGCAGUUAGGACAGAAGCCAGGGUUGUAGGCUGAAAAUUUUUUACUGACUUUUCAUUGUGAAAUUUUAUUUUAUUUAUUUUCAAUUUUUUAAAAUGUUUUAUUAUUUGAGAGAGAGAGUGAGUGGGGGGAGUGGGCAGAGAGAGAGGGAGACACAGAAACUGGAGGAGGCUCCGAGCUGUCAGCACAGAGCCUGACUCUGUGGGGCUCAAACUCAUGAACCACGAGAUCUGACCUGAGCGGAAGUCAAACGCUUAACUGCCUGAGUCACCCAGGUGCCCCUCGGGCGUUUUUAAGGUGGGAGGAACUAUAGCAGGUUUGUUUGCCAUCGGCAGUGCUAGAGGGAAAAUGGACAUGGAGACUUAGGAAGCUGUCCUCAAGCAGGUAAUGGGGGUGGUGCUGACAGUGUACAGGGGAGAGAUGGAUUGGCCUUGAAUCAAAGAGGGGCCAGCUCUUCCUGGUAAAAGAAAGUCAUACCAUCUGACAUUCCCUCUGGAUUGUGAAAACCGCCCUUGUUCCUUCUGUGUUGGCAGUUAUUGUGCACAGCGUAAAAGCUCAAGCAAGGUCUUUGGACUGCAGUCUGGUAUUGAUGUAAAUGGUAGGGCUUCCUUUACGAACCAUAAUGAAGAACUGGACAGAUGGUCGUGAUGUUUGUUCUAAGUGGCUGGGGCCAGAGGGAGAGGACGGUGGUGGGCAGUUACAGCAAGGGAUGCUGGGGAAGGAUGGGGAGCCCCCUGGCAGGAGCAGCUGUGACACUGCGAUUUAUAAUAAUCUAUGUGGUCUUUGCCCCUUUUCUGGCUCAUAGCACCUAAAACCCUUGGAAUUUUGUGCGGUGAGAGCAGAGGUGUCUUUUGUUAUGUUAACGAGGUGGUUUUUGGAAAACACUUGGGUAACCUAAAGCUGGGGGCUUGUUGCCAGGGCCCCAACCUUGUAGAGGUUGAAAUAGCCCGUCUGACCCUUGGCCUUCUGGAAAGGGAGAAGGGGUGGUUGGAGCUUGAAUCAAUUGCCAGUGGCCAAUGAUUUAAUCAGUACUGACUUUGUAAUGAAGCCUCCAUCAAAACCCAAAAGGACCAAAAAAAAAAAAACCCCAAAAAACCCCAAACCAAAACCCAAAAGGACAGGGUUGAGAGAACUUCCAGGUUUUAGGGCAUGUGGAGAUUUGGGGAGAGUGGGGCCCCUGGAGAAGGCCUGGUAGCUCCCACCCUUCCCCAUACCUUGCCUGUGUGUCUCAUCCAUCUUCCUGUUCCUGAGUUUUAUUCUGGUUUAUAAUAAUUACUGAUUUACAAUAACCAGGAAUCCAGUAAGUAAAAUGUUUUUCUUGGAGUUCUGUGAGCUGCUAUAGCAGAUGACUUGAACUCAAGGGGGUGUUUGUUGGAACCUGUGCUCUGUAGCUGAUUGGUCCAGAAGCACAGAUGAUAACCUGGACUUGCCACUGGCUUCUGAAGGUUGUGCGGGGGUGGGGGGUGCGGUCUUGUAGUACUGAGCUCUUAAUCUCUGGAAUCUGAUGCUGUCUCCAGGAAGACAGUGUCAGAAUUGAGUUGAAGUAUAGGACAUCCAGCUGGUGUCUGAAUUGCUGGGGGGGGGGGGGGGGGGACCCACAGACUGGAAUUGGGUGCGGGGUCAUUAGCAGCCGGGGUGGGGUGGGAGGAGGCUGAAGGGGGUUGUGGAGCCUGAAGAGCCCCCAAGAUGAGGCCUGUGGGUGUAUUAACACAGUGGAACACUAUUCUGCAAUGAAAAAGAGUGAGCGGCAUGGAUGGAUCUCAUAGCCACCAUGCAGACUCUAAGAAAUCAGUCCACACUAGCAUGAAGAGCAGGGCUGCUUUCAAAGUUGGGCAAAAGAGGUCAGGACGGUGGUUACUGGGGAUGGAGUUGGGUAUUGGCUGGGAGGAAUAUGAGAACCUUUAGAGGGCUGGAAACGUCUAGCUUGAUCUGAGUGGUGGCUGCUCCAGUGAAUAAAUUGGUAAAAAUUCAAUGAGACUGCAUUUAAAAUGUGUGUUUUAAAAACAUAAAAUAAAAUAUGUGUGAUUUACGUAAAAUGGAUCUCCAUAAAAGAAGAAAUGAGCCGAGCCAAAAAGCUAGACUUUGACAGAAGGGCAGGUGGGAGCCACAGAAGUUUGAGCCAGGGCUAGGUCCAGGGACGUGUGAAUGUUGGGAGAGUCCUCAGGGUCCCGGGAUGCAGGUGCAUGGAAGGAGAGAGGCCAGAAUCUGCCUCAGCCUCAGCUCCUGACUGGCUUUCUAACUGCCACCCCUCUCUGGGCCCUCUUUUCCCCAACCAGCCCUCUCAUGGGAGUGGAGGUAAAACAGGAGAGAAGCCCAGACAGAGCAUGUGAGACUGAGCUCCCUGGGGACAGACAUCUGAUUCGUGCCUGUGGCCCUACUAGCCCCUGAUAGAAGUGCUGAUUUUGUGAGGGGGAGUGCAGAAGCUGCCGGAAGGGGGGUCUCAGGACCCAUGCCCCACAUUGGGAAAUGGGUGAAAGUAGCGGGGCAAAUCCAAGAUACUUGAGAACGGGAUCGCUCACGUGUCCUCUUAGUUUCUUAGUGAAAAGCCACUUCUAACCAGUUCCUGCCUUGUCACAGUGAAAACCACCUUAGCUGGAGGUGAGGAAUUUGGGCCCCCCAGGCGUUCAGGGUUUUCAUUCAGUGAUAUUCACUGAGGCCCUGCAUGUGCCAGCCCUUGACAUUGAAGACACGGUAGAGAACAGAAAUGAAAAUACGGUAUUAAUCAUCCCUGAGCUUCUCAAUGGGCCCGUUGGCUAAGUGCUGGGGCUCUGGAGCCAGGCUCCCUGGGUCAGAGCCCAGCUCCAGCUUCUCUACUGUGGCUUUGGGCAGGUUUCUUAAGUCUCUGUCUGCCUCAGUUACUUUUUAUGUAAAACGGGACCACACAAUACCCACUUUGCCUCCUUUUUAGAGAUUUUGUGCGGUCGUUUGGCAGGGGAUCUGGCUGUAACACUGCAAGGAGGGCUUCCUGCAGGGGGAGGGUGUUGGAGAUGUCUUCAGAGGUCCCAUCCAGUUCCUGUCUCCUCUACUGCCAAGUGGGCUGGUGUCCAGAGGAAGGGCAAUUCGUGGCAGUGGGUGGUGCAAGCCCCAGUUUAGCUCCCGGAGCCGAGGGAUGAGGCUAACUAUGGCUUUGCAGGGAAAUCCGAAGAUAGCUCAGCAGAGGAUGACUCCCAGUCGGGCUUCCCCGCAGAGCGAAGGAAGCGAGGGUGAAUCAGCCUCUCAAAGUGGAAUGGAGCCGUUGAGGGAAGUGAUGGGAAGUGAAACCUCCAAGAGGUCCAAGGCCACUCGGCCUCUGACUCACCUCAGGCAGGGCAGAGGGAGGGCUCAGCCACAGGGCAGGGCAAGCUGGGUGUGAAUCUGGGCCCUGUGGCCAGACCUCCAGCCUCUAGACGUGGCCCUUCCUGCAAGCUCAGUUUCUGUAUCUCUACAACGGGGUGGGAAGGGUUUGGUCGAGGUGAUUUACAGGAGGGAAGCACACAGUAGGGCCUCCAGAACUGCUAGCCCCUCCCCCUUUCCUGUCUGAGUCUUAAGCAGAUAAUGAAAUGAGUAUGUUGGGAUAGUUUGGGGUUCUUGUUAGUCUCCUGACCGGUGAGUCGUCAUCUAGGUCCUGGCGAGAUGAGUAGGGGAGGGAGGGCGGCAGGAAAAAGAAAAAGAGCAGCCAUGCACCACAUCUGAAAAAUCAAUAGCGAAAAUAAAAAUGAUGAACUGUC
This is a long non-coding RNA of Neofelis nebulosa (Clouded leopard), 5282 nucleotides long. RefSeq lists it as uncharacterized. The record is from RefSeq and is a predicted model, not a curated record. The transcript is spliced from 2 exons. Lineage: Eukaryota; Metazoa; Chordata; Mammalia; Carnivora; Felidae.